AUGGCAUCACCAGAAACCAAGAAGAUGGUAAGGCCUGGAGGUGGCAGAGCUGAAGAGGUUGAACUGGUUUGUUGAGCUUUAUGGAUGGAGCCAGCCAACAGGAUGACAUUGUGGCAGAGAAAGAAGCUUGCAGCUUCUUGCAUCAGAAAAUCAGAGAGAGCCUCUCUGGCAAGAAGCUGCAGACACAAAAGAAGCUUGCGUUGAAGACGGCAGGAAUGCAAAACAUCAAGAGGCUCCAUCCUUGAAUCACCAUUUGGAGAAGAGUUAACUGACAGACAAGAUCUGCACUGAAUUAUAUGUUCUGAACAUUGACAGCCAACAUCAGCUCUGAUGAGAGACAACUCUGAUGAGAUUCUGAAGUGUACAGCUUUUGAAUCAUUGAAGGAUUCAAUUGUUUUUCGUAUAAUCUGGCUCCACAGGGAGCCAGGAUAGCAGGAAAACAUGGUGGAUCCAGCAUGGAACUUACAACUGAGGCUAGUUUGAUGAGUCUAGCUCUGUCGCCCAGGCUGGAGUGCGGUGGCGGGAUCUCGGUUCACUGCAAGCUCCGCCUCCCGGAUUCAUGCCAUUCUCCUGCCUCAGCCUCCCGAGUAGUUGGGAC
RNAcentral lists this long non-coding RNA (598 nucleotides) under Pongo abelii (Sumatran orangutan). RNAcentral's name for it is "lincRNA". The record is from RNAcentral. Lineage: Eukaryota; Metazoa; Chordata; Mammalia; Primates; Hominidae.